Molecule: ribosomal RNA, 447 nt
Filed under: uncultured bacterium
Lineage: Bacteria
Description: SSU rRNA
Rfam family: Bacterial small subunit ribosomal RNA
Source: RNAcentral
AGAGCGAACGCUGGCGGCAGGCCUAACACAUGCAAGUCGAGCGCCCGUAGCAAUACGGGAGCGGCAGACGGGAUAGUAACACGUGGGAACGCGCCCUUCGGUUCGGAAUAACUCAGGGAAACUUGAGCUAAUACCGGAUACGCCCUUACGGGGAAAGAUUUAUUGCCGAAGGAACGGCCCGCGUCCGAUUAGCUAGUUGGUGAGGUAAUGGCUCACCAAGGCGACGAUCGGUAGCUGGUCUGAGAGGAUGACCAGCAUCACUGGGACUGAGACACGGCCCAGACUCCUACGGGAGGCAGCAGUGGGGAAUAUUGGACAAUGGGCGCAAGCCUGAUCCAGCCAUGCCGCGUGGAUGAUGAAGGCCUUAGGGUUGUAAAGCUCUUUUGUGCGGGAAGAUAAUGACGGUACCGCAAGAAUAAGCCCGGCUAACUUCGUGCCAGCAGCCGC